This 1448-nucleotide long non-coding RNA is filed under the name Salmo salar (Atlantic salmon). Its description in RNAcentral is "lncRNA (ENSSSAG00000120936.1, ENSSSAG00075061360.1)". Lineage: Eukaryota; Metazoa; Chordata; Actinopteri; Salmoniformes; Salmonidae. The record is from RNAcentral.
UGUCAAUCUCCAAGUGGAGUGUCAUGUGCCUUUCACUGAGGAGUGGCUUCCGUCUGGCCACUCUACCAUAAAGGCCUGAUUGGUGGAGUGCUGCAGAGAUGGUUGUCCUUCUGGAAGAUUCUCCCAUCUACUACAGAGGAACUCUAGAGCUCUGUCAGAGCGACCGUCGGGUUCUUGGUCACCUCCCUGACGAAUGUCUAAAAAGCUGUUUUCGCUUCGUCAUUAUGGAGCAUUGUGUGUACAUUGCUGAGAUGUUUUUAUUUAAUUUAUCCAUUUUAGAAUAAGGCUGUAACUUAACAAAAUGUGGAAAAAGCCAAGAGGUCUGAAUACUUUCCGAAGGCACUGUAUGUACCAGAAAGAGCACCCCCAUAUUCAUGCUGGACGGGAAGACGAGGUACAUUUGGAGAGGGGUCAUUUUUUGGCAGAGGAAAGACGGAAGAAAAAGUGUGCCUCAGGUAGAGCAUGGCGCUUGCAACGCCAGGGUUGAGGGUUCGAUUCUCACGGAGGGCCGGUACAAAAGCAUCAAGUGUCUCCGGGUUCGAAGCUGGCUAUUCACGAAACAUCCGACACAUCUCUUUUGAUCUCUUAUUUCCGCGAUAACCCAGUUUCCUGUCUGUCAGCCGGAGACGGAGAUGAGGACGAGAGCGCUUUGAUUGCGCUGGGGCUGCUGCGCGUUUGCGGGUGCAACAGGGAGGAGACAAGUGAAAAUACAGUAGAAGAGUACAAGAGAGAGACAGGAUCCAGGUUAAAGGUCAUCCAACUUGUUUACCCUGAGUGAGGGAUUCUGUUAUGAUGAACCCAGAAGCAGACCAGGACAAGGUGAGUUGAACCAAGGUGAGUAUUUAUUUACAGACUCAAAUGUGAAAGCAGAAUAAUCCAGGAGACGGAGCGGGCAGCGGAGGUGAGUUGGUGAGAGUGAAUAGGCAGAUCCAAUGAUGUCACAGAAGCCCCGACGACCAGGCAGGGGUGGGGUGAAUGUUCCGGGAGAAUGACUGUAGACAGAGUAAGCGGAGGUGAGUACACUGCAAGCAAAACAAAUACAGAACAACAAAACUAACUCUAGUAAACUUGAGGCUGAUACGCUGACACAACAUACUGUUCAUAGCUAACGAUCCAGCAGGGAAUGGAUGUCAGGUCAGGGCUUAUGAAGAGAAGAGGUGAUGAUCAGGACCAGGUGUGCAGAUAGCUGAUGAGAUGCAGGUGCGGGUAAUUGAUAGAUCUCCCGCCUAGCUUCGUCGCCCGGCAACCAGACAGGGUGCGUUCAGGAACCUCAGGAAACAGACUCCGAGACAGAAAAUAGGCAACUCAGGCAGAAAACAGACUCAGGAAGCGGGAUUCAUGACAUCCAAAACUUGUAAUGAAAUCCAAAACUUUCCAGGUUUCCAACACCCAGCAAUAAUUAUGUUUGUUGCAGAUACUAAAUUAAAAGGACAUUACAAUUGUUUGUG